UGGGGAAUAUUGCGCAAUGGGGGGAACCCUGACGCAGCCAUGCCGCGUGAAUGAAGAAGGCCUUCGGGUUGUAAAGUGCUUUCGGUGAUGAGGCAGGUAACAUUGUUAAUACCAAUGUUAAUUGCCGUUAAUUACAGAAGAAGCCCCGGUUAACUCCGUGCCAGCAGCCGCGGUAAUACGGAGGGUGCGAGCGUUAAUCGGAAUAACUGGGCGUAAAGGGCACGCAGGCGGAUUUUUAAGUGAGGUGUGAAAGCCCCGGGCUUAACCUGGGAAUUGCAUUUCAGACUGGGAAUCUAGAGUACUUUAGGGAGGGGUAGAAUUCCACGUGUAGCGGUGAAAUGCGUAGAGAUGUGGAGGAAUACCGAAGGCGAAGGCAGCCCCUUGGGAAUGUACUGACGCUCAUGUGCGAAAGCGUGGGGAGCAAACAGG
Molecule: ribosomal RNA, 429 nt
Filed under: uncultured bacterium
Lineage: Bacteria
Description: bacterial SSU rRNA
Rfam family: Bacterial small subunit ribosomal RNA
Source: RNAcentral